Molecule: ribosomal RNA, 253 nt
Filed under: uncultured bacterium
Lineage: Bacteria
Description: partial 16S ribosomal RNA
Rfam family: Bacterial small subunit ribosomal RNA
Source: RNAcentral
UACAGAGGGGGCAGGCGUUGUUCGGAAUUACUGGGCGUAAAGGGCGCGUAGGCGGCCUUCUAAGUCGAACGUGAAAUCCCCGGGCUCAACCCGGGAACUGCGUCCGAUACUGGAAGGCUUGAAUCCGGGAGAGGGAUGCGGAAUUCCCGGUGUAGCGGUGAAAUGCGCAGAUAUCGGGAGGAACACCGGUGGCGAAGGCGGUUCUCUGGGCCUGUACUGACGCUGAGGAGCGAAAGCGUGGGGAGCGAACAGG